AAAUGAAUCGGCGAUGACGUUCGCCAUUAAUAAUUGACUAUCAAUUGAUGACGUCUACUGAAUC
This 64-nucleotide non-coding RNA is filed under the name Secundilactobacillus oryzae. RNAcentral describes it as "Lactobacillus oryzae Fluoride sequence". It matches the Rfam family "Fluoride riboswitch aptamer (crcB RNA motif)". Lineage: Bacteria; Bacillati; Bacillota; Bacilli; Lactobacillales; Lactobacillaceae. The record is from RNAcentral.